RNAcentral lists this unclassified non-coding RNA (569 nucleotides) under Hevea brasiliensis (rubber tree). The record is from RNAcentral. Lineage: Eukaryota; Viridiplantae; Streptophyta; Magnoliopsida; Malpighiales; Euphorbiaceae.
GGUGGGUGUAUUUCCCUUCUUUUCUUUGAAGAAAUUUUGAAUCAUCAUGUAACUGGCAUUCCCUUGUGAUAUUGCACAAUUGCUAUUGGUUAAAUAAUUUCCACAAUUAGGUUGUGGUGGGUUAUUCAUUGGAUGCCAUAAACUGAUAGACUGGUGCCUGGAAGCAAAAUUUUGGCAGCAUGGUUUAUAAUGGCUUCCUGAUAAUUGCACCAUGAACUAUAGAACUCCACAUUGCUAUGUUUCAAAUUUCAUUUUGUUAGUGCUUUAUAAAUGUGCAUAGUAUUAUCGUAUAAUCCUGGCCCUGCCAAUAUAAGUCCAAAGUCUCCUCUCCAUAAUUAUCAUGCAAAAAGAAUGUCACUUUUUAUGUUUCAUGAAAUCAACCAUAAGUGCCAAGCACUCGGCUCAAAAAUCAUGUAAUAUUGAAUUGCAAUACAGAUGAGGUAUGAAAUCUGCUCCUCUUGUAUAAUAUUCUGUGCUUACAACCUACUUUUCUUUUUCUCUAAAGAUAUAAUUUGUUAAACAUAGUUUUAUGAUUAUUAUGUUGAAUUUUAUUCUACUCCUGAAAUAAA